GACGAACGCUGGCGGCGUGCUUAAUACAUGCAAGUCGAGCGAGGUUACUGUCUUGGAUCCCUUCGGGGUGAAGAAGCUUUAACCUAGCGGCGGACGGGUGAGUAACGCGUGGGUAACCUACCCCAAAGUCCGGGAUAACAGCGGGAAACCGCUGCUAAUACCGGAUGCCUUUACCUUGGGGCAUCUUGAGGUAAAGAAAGGCAACGCUUUGGGAUGGGCCCGCGUCCCAUUAGCUAGUUGGUGAGGUAACGGCUCACCAAGGCGACGAUGGGUAGCCGGCCUGAGAGGGUGGACGGCCACACUGGGACUGAGACACGGCCCAGACUCCUACGGGAGGCAGCAGUAGGGAAUAUUGCGCAAUGGACGGAAGUCUGACGCAGCGACGCCGCGUGAGCGAUGAAGGUCUUCGGAUCGUAAAAGCUCUGUCCUUGGGGAAGAAGGUCUUCGGACUUGACGGUACCCAAGAAGAAAGCCCCGGCUAACUACGUG
RNAcentral lists this ribosomal RNA (489 nucleotides) under uncultured bacterium. Its description in RNAcentral is "bacterial SSU rRNA". It matches the Rfam family "Bacterial small subunit ribosomal RNA", at positions 28 to 507 of the family's 1533-position model. The record is from RNAcentral.